UUAAAAACAAAUCCAGCUCAGAAGCACCACACAGACAUUCUUUAAAAGUUUGUGUGAGCCACUGUGCCCUUGUUUGAACUCUUGCUUAUCUGUCCUUCUGUUGGGUUAACAACGUAAAUAAAGUCAAAGAAACUGUCCUGCUCUUUAGUGAGGAUGGGUACAUCUCUAGGGAGUAGAGGGUCUCUUGAGAUUAUGAGAGAAUGAGAUCUUUUUAUAUAUGUGCCAAAUUUUAGAAAGUCCUUCCUGGGGGAAAGACACCCGAGGAGCCUACCUGAUUUCAGAUGUUUUCUAAUCCUGAGGCUGAGCUUCUGAUGACUGGUGAUAAGAUGUGAGGGGGAGGUGGAGAAAGAGAAAAUAACUGUUAAAGUGGGCUAAAUAAAAUGGUAGGGUUUAGGUUCUGAUAGGAAAAUAUAUAGACUCUUAUACUGAGCAGUGUUGGACAUGAAUGAUACAAAACACCUAGAAUAAUGGCGAGCUCCAACUCAUGGUAAACUGAAAUAUUCUCUCAUUCCCAGGCAGACAUCAUGAG
Long non-coding RNA from Homo sapiens (human), 529 nucleotides. NCBI's taxonomy places the organism in Eukaryota, Metazoa, Chordata, Mammalia, Primates, Hominidae. The record is from Ensembl.